Molecule: ribosomal RNA, 376 nt
Filed under: uncultured organism
Description: partial 16S ribosomal RNA
Rfam family: Bacterial small subunit ribosomal RNA
Source: RNAcentral
GGGGGGGGGGGCAAGCGUUGUUCGGAAUUACUGGGCGUAAAGGGGCGCGCAGGCGGCCUGGCAAGUCCUACGUGAAAUCCCACAGCUUAACUGUGGAACUGCGUGGGAUACUGCCAGGCUUGAGUCCGGGAGAGGAGAGUGGAAUUCCCAGUGUAGCGGUGAAAUGCGUAGAUAUUGGGAGGAACACCGGUGGCGAAGGCGGCUCUCUGGACCGGUACUGACGCUGAGGCGCGAAAGCUAGGGGAGCAAACGGGAUUAGAUACCCCGGUAGUCCUAGCCGUAAACUUUGAGCACUUUGUGUGGCGGGUAUCGACCCCUGCCGUGCAGAAGCUAACGCAUUAAGUGCUCCGCCUGGGGAGUACGGUCGCAAAGGCUG